GGAACAGCAACCCCUUAUUGAUGGCGGGAUUGAUGAAAUUCUGUUUUGAUGCACGUCAAGACGAAUGAGUCGUGAAAGGCUUCCAAAGUUAUCUGGUAUAACAGUGAGAAAGUUCUUCGAUGCAUUAAGUUCUGUAAGCAUGGUCCACGAUGCCAUCAAAUUCCCAGAAAAACUAUUUAGCUUGUUUCCCUCGAAAUCUACUUUCGUCAAUUUUGAACAUUUUGCUAGAUCUUCAGGCAAGCUGGUGAUGAAGUUGUUUGACACCUUCAAUUCAGAUAAAUCUAAAC
Molecule: unclassified non-coding RNA, 287 nt
Filed under: Hevea brasiliensis (rubber tree)
Lineage: Eukaryota; Viridiplantae; Streptophyta; Magnoliopsida; Malpighiales; Euphorbiaceae
Source: RNAcentral